UCUCUCAAAGCUUAUUAGUUUAGACUUUAAAAUUAUAACUCAUUUUGUCUACAUAGAAUUGACUAGAUGGAUGAUAAAUCACAAUUCAUAUAGACUGUAACAGCAUGAGCACAUUUUUAUAUUAGUAUGUAUUUUGCUUGUAGUCAAAAAAGUAAGUAAAGUGUGUAUUCACUUCUGUGAUUAUCACAAAUGACAGCCUUCACUGUAAAAAACAGUGUAGAUUAAAAACUAGAAUGUAAGAACUUUAAGAUAUGGAAUCAGGUCAGAAAUGAGGAAUUCAUUUUCCAGGUCAUCCCCAAGCCCUUUGUUUUAUCAAGCCAACCCUUUUUUGGUUGGAUAUUUACUAUUAAACUGAGGUUUUAGUAAUUUCUUAAAACUUUUAAUUCUUUUAACUAGUGAGGGAAGUAUGCCCAACCUCUUAAGGCUCAGUAUUUUUUGACUGUCAACAGCACAACUCCCAGAUUCUUAUAUGUCAAUAUUGUACUGGAGAUUCACCAAGAUCACAAGUGUUUGAGAAUUCCCACCCAUGAGAAAGAAUCGAGAACAGUUAUGUUUAGAAUAAAAUGUAAACCAAGCUGUGAGAACGUUGAGUACUC
Molecule: long non-coding RNA, 596 nt
Filed under: Bos taurus (domestic cattle)
Lineage: Eukaryota; Metazoa; Chordata; Mammalia; Artiodactyla; Bovidae
Description: long non-coding RNA NONBTAT004748
Source: RNAcentral